Molecule: ribosomal RNA, 459 nt
Filed under: uncultured Thermovirga sp.
Lineage: Bacteria; Thermotogati; Synergistota; Synergistia; Synergistales; Thermovirgaceae
Description: bacterial SSU rRNA
Rfam family: Bacterial small subunit ribosomal RNA
Source: RNAcentral
CACAAGCAGCGGAGCGUGUGGUUUAUUCGAUGAUACGCGAAAACCUUACCAGGGUUUGACGAUGUGGGUGGUAGGGAGUCCGAAAGGUGACCGACUCUUCGGAGAGCCCUCACAGGUGCUGCAUGGCUGUCGUCAGCUCGUGUCGUGAGACGUUGGGUUAAGUCCCGCAACGAGCGCAACCCCUGCAUUCAGUUGCCAACGGUAAGGCCGGGCACUCUGGAUGGACUGCCGGCGACAAGCCGGAGGAAGGUGGGAUGACGUCAAGUCAUCAUGGCCCUUAUGUCCAGGGCGACACACGUGCUACAAUGGCCGGCACAGCGGGAAGCGAGGGGGCGACCUUGAGCGGAUCCCUCAAAGCCGGUCUCAGUUCGGAUUGCAGUCUGCAACUCGACUGCAUGAAGUUGGAAUCGCUAGUAAUCGUGGAUCAGCCAAGCCGCGGUGAAUACGUUCCCGGGCCUU